This is a non-coding RNA of Otolemur garnettii (small-eared galago), 104 nucleotides long. NCBI's taxonomy places the organism in Eukaryota, Metazoa, Chordata, Mammalia, Primates, Galagidae. The record is from Rfam.
GUGCUCGCUUCAGCAGCACAUACACUAAAAUUGGAAUGAUACAAAGAUUACCAUGGCCCCUGCGCAAGGAUAACAAACACACUUGUGAACUGUUCCAUAUUUUU